Molecule: non-coding RNA, 94 nt
Organism: Mycena galericulata
Lineage: Eukaryota; Fungi; Basidiomycota; Agaricomycetes; Agaricales; Mycenaceae
Source: the annotation of a GenBank genome assembly
GGCCUGGUGGUGUAUUGGUAUCACAUCCUCUUCAUCUCAUGUGAAGAUUUGUGCCUUUCAGAGGAAGAACCCUGUUCAAUUCGGGGCUAGGCCA